RNAcentral lists this ribosomal RNA (500 nucleotides) under uncultured bacterium. RNAcentral describes it as "partial 16S ribosomal RNA". It matches the Rfam family "Bacterial small subunit ribosomal RNA", at positions 30 to 523 of the family's 1533-position model. The record is from RNAcentral.
AUUGAACGCUGGCGGAAUGCUUUACACAUGCAAGUCGAACGGCAGCACGGGGGCAACCCUGGUGGCGAGUGGCGAACGGGUGAGUAAUACAUCGGAACGUGCCCAGUCGUGGGGGAUAACGUAGCGAAAGUUACGCUAAUACCGCAUACGAUCUACGGAUGAAAGCGGGGGACCGUAAGGCCUCGCGCGAUUGGAGCGGCCGAUGUCAGAUUAGGUAGUUGGUGAGGUAAAGGCUCACCAAGACGACGAUCUGUAGCUGGUCUGAGAGGAUGACCCGCCACACUGGGACUAGGCAACGGCCCGGACUCCUACGGUAGGCAGCAGUGGGGAAUUUUGGACAAUGGGCGCUAGCCUGAUCCAGCCAUUCCGCGUGCAGGACGAAGGCCUUCGGGUUGUAAACUGCUUUUGUACGGAACGAAAAGGCUCUGGUUAAUACCUGGGGCUCAUGACGGUACCGUAAGAAUAAGCACCGGCUAACUACGUGCCAGCCGCCGCGGUAA